GACGAACGCUGGCGGCGUGCUUAACACAUGCAAGUCGAACGGAAAGGCCCUGCUUUUGUGGGGUGCUCGCGUGGCGAACGGGUGAGUAACACGUGAGUAACCUGCCCUUGACUUUGGGAUAACUUCAGGAAACUGGUGCUACUACCGGAUAGGAGCUCCUGCUGCAUGGUGGGGGUUGGAAAGUUUCGGCGGAUGGGGAUGGACUGGGGGGUUAUCAGCUUGUUGGUGGGGUAGUGGCUUACCCAGGCAUCGGCGGGUAGCCGGCCUGGGAGGGUGACCGGCCACCAUGGGACUGAGGUAGGGCCCAGACUCCUACGGUAGGCAGCAGGGGGGAAUAUUGCACAAUGGGCGGAAGCCUGAUGCAGCAACGCCGCGUGCGGGAUGACGGCCUUCGGGUUGUAAACCGCUUUCGCCUGUGACGAAGCGUGAGUGACGGUAAUGGGUAAAGAAGCACCGGCUAACUACGUG
RNAcentral lists this ribosomal RNA (468 nucleotides) under uncultured bacterium. Its description in RNAcentral is "partial 16S ribosomal RNA". It matches the Rfam family "Bacterial small subunit ribosomal RNA", at positions 28 to 507 of the family's 1533-position model. The record is from RNAcentral.